CCUACGGGUGGCAGCAGUGGGGAAUAUUGCUCAAUGGGGGAAACCCUGAAGCAGCAACGCCGCGUGAAGGAAGAAGGUUCUAGGGUUGUAAACUCCUUUUGUGAGGGAAGAUAAUAACGGUAUACCAGUCAAAAGCGCCAGCUAACUCCGUGCCAGCAGCGGCGGUAAUACGGAGGGUGCAAGCGUUACUCGGAAUCACUGGGGGUAAAGAGGGCGCAGGCGGGCUGAUAAGUCAGAUGUGAAAUCCUGUAGCUUAACCACAGAACUGCAUUUGAAACUAUGAGUCUAGAGUGUGGGAGAGGUAGGUGGAAUUCUUGGUGUAGGGGUAAAAUCCGUAGAUAUCAAGAGGAAUACUCAUUGCGAAGGCGACCUACUGGAACAUUACUGACGCUCAGGCACGAAAGCGUGGGGAGCAAACAGGAUUAGAUACCCCUGUAGUC
RNAcentral lists this ribosomal RNA (440 nucleotides) under uncultured bacterium. Its description in RNAcentral is "partial 16S ribosomal RNA". It matches the Rfam family "Bacterial small subunit ribosomal RNA", at positions 338 to 795 of the family's 1533-position model. The record is from RNAcentral.